AGCGAACGCUGGCGGCAGGCCUAACACAUGCAAGUCGAACGGAUCCUUCGGGAUUAGUGGCGGACGGGUGAGUAACACGUGGGAACGUGCCCUUUGGUUCGGAACAACUCAGGGAAACUUGAGCUAAUACCGGAUGUGCCCUUCGGGGGAAAGAUUUAUCGCCAUUGGAGCGGCCCGCGUCUGAUUAGCUAGUUGGUGAGGUAAAGGCUCACCAAGGCGACGAUCAGUAGCUGGUCUGAGAGGAUGAUCAGCCACAUUGGGACUGAGACACGGCCCAAACUCCUACGGGAGGCAGCAGUGGGGAAUCUUGCGCAAUGGGCGAAAGCCUGACGCAGCCAUGCCGCGUGAAUGAUGAAGGUCUUAGGAUUGUAAAAUUCUUUCACCGGGGACGAUAAUGACGGUACCCGGAGAAGAAGCCCCGGCUAACUUCGUGCCAGCAGCCGCGGUAAUACGAAGGGGGCUAGCGUUGCUCGGAAUUACUGGGCGUAAAGGGAGCGUAGGCGGACUGUUAAGUUAGAGGUGAAAGCCCAGGGCUCAACCUUGGAAUUGCCUUUGAUACUGGCAGUCUUGAGUACGGAAGAGGUAUGUGGAACUCCGAGUGUAGAGGUGAAAUUCGUAGAUAUUCGGAAGAACACCAGUGGCGAAGGCGACAUACUGGUCCGUUACUGACGCUGAGGCUCGAAAGCGUGGGGAGCAAACAGGAUUA
RNAcentral lists this ribosomal RNA (706 nucleotides) under uncultured Alphaproteobacteria bacterium. RNAcentral describes it as "bacterial SSU rRNA". It matches the Rfam family "Bacterial small subunit ribosomal RNA", at positions 28 to 780 of the family's 1533-position model. Lineage: Bacteria; Pseudomonadati; Pseudomonadota; Alphaproteobacteria. The record is from RNAcentral.